This 406-nucleotide ribosomal RNA is filed under the name uncultured bacterium. Its description in RNAcentral is "partial 16S ribosomal RNA". It matches the Rfam family "Bacterial small subunit ribosomal RNA", at positions 30 to 526 of the family's 1533-position model. The record is from RNAcentral.
AUUGAACGCUGGCGGCAUGCCUAACACAUGCAAGUCGAGCGAGCGGCGGACGGGGGAGUAAUGUCUGUGAAACUGCCUGCUGGAGGGGUAUAACUACUGGAAACGGUAGCUACUACCGCAUACCAUCAGAUGGGCCCAGGUGGGAUUAGCUAGUAGGUGGGGUAACGGCUCACCUUGGCGACGAUCCCUAGCUGGUCUGAGAGGAUGACCAGCCACACUGGAACUGAGAUACGGUCCAGACUCCUACGGGAGGCAGCAGUGGGGAAUAUUGCACAAUGGGCGCAAGCCUGAUGCAGCCACGCCGCGUGUGUGAAGAAGGCCUUCGGGUUGUAAAGCACUUUCAGCGAGGAGGCGUUACCCGCAGAAGAAGCACCGGCUAACUCCGUGCCAGCAGCCGCGGUAAUAC